Molecule: small nuclear RNA, 66 nt
Filed under: Echinops telfairi (small Madagascar hedgehog)
Lineage: Eukaryota; Metazoa; Chordata; Mammalia; Afrosoricida; Tenrecidae
Description: U7 small nuclear RNA (ENSETEG00000023122.1)
Rfam family: U7 small nuclear RNA
About the family: Animal histone pre-mRNAs are spliced by a different mechanism than nuclear pre-mRNAs and self-splicing introns. This processing involves the U7 snRNP, which contains only one RNA species: U7.
Source: RNAcentral
AAGUGUUACAGCUCUUUUAGAAUUUGUUUGGCAGGUUUUCUGGUUUUUUUCCCAGAAACCACCCCC